RNAcentral lists this ribosomal RNA (597 nucleotides) under uncultured bacterium. RNAcentral's name for it is "bacterial SSU rRNA". It matches the Rfam family "Bacterial small subunit ribosomal RNA", at positions 33 to 629 of the family's 1533-position model. The record is from RNAcentral.
ACGCUGGCGGCGGCCUAACAAUGCAAGUCGAACGGUAACAUUUCUAGCUUGCUAGAAGAUGACGAGUGGCGGACGGGUGAGUAAUGCUUGGGAACUUGCCUUUGCGAGGGGGAUAACAGUUGGAAACGACUGCUAAUACCGCAUAAUGUCUUCGGACCAAACGGGGCUUCGGCUCCGGCGCAAAGAGAGGCCCAAGUGAGAUUAGCUAGUUGGUAAGGUAACGGCUUACCAAGGCGACGAUCUCUAGCUGUUCUGAGAGGAAGAUCAGCCACACUGGGACUGAGACACGGCCCAGACUCCUACGGGAGGCAGCAGUGGGGAAUAUUGCACAAUGGGGGAAACCCUGAUGCAGCCAUGCCGCGUGUGUGAAGAAGGCCUUCGGGUUGUAAAGCACUUUCAGUUGUGAGGAAAAGUUAGUAGUUAAUACCUGCUAGCCGUGACGUUAACAACAGAAGAAGCACCGGCUAACUCCGUGCCAGCAGCCGCGGUAAUACGGAGGGUGCGAGCGUUAAUCGGAAUUACUGGGCGUAAAGCGCACGCAGGCGGUUUGUUAAGCUAGAUGUGAAAGCCCCGGGCUCAACCUGGGAUGGUCAUUUA